AGAUUAAGUUAUUAAGGGCGCACGGUGAAUACCUUGGCACUAGAAGCCGAAGAAGGACGUUACUAACGACGAUAUGCUUUGGGGAGCUGUAAGUAAGCU
RNAcentral lists this ribosomal RNA (99 nucleotides) under Staphylococcus microti. RNAcentral describes it as "partial 23S ribosomal RNA". It matches the Rfam family "Bacterial large subunit ribosomal RNA", at positions 1 to 98 of the family's 2925-position model. Lineage: Bacteria; Bacillati; Bacillota; Bacilli; Caryophanales; Staphylococcaceae. The record is from RNAcentral.